Molecule: long non-coding RNA, 2382 nt
Organism: Malania oleifera
Lineage: Eukaryota; Viridiplantae; Streptophyta; Magnoliopsida; Santalales; Ximeniaceae
Exons: 2
Source: RefSeq, a predicted model, not a curated record
UCUCUUAGUUGGUUAAAGAAUGCAUCGUUUCAUUAUGCAGCUGAGUUCUUGGACAUUGAUGAUUUGGUUCAUUUCAGCAUAGCAUUAUGUUACUUUUUUCUACUUGAUGCUGUUGACCUAUAAUGCAAGGUUUUUGCAGGUUUAAAGUUUAAAGAUUUCAUGGAAUUUGAUUUCUUAGCCUUGAUUUCAAUUAUUAGAAGUUCAGUCAUACCUUGAAGUAUUGCCAGUGUAGUGAAAAUAUUGUUGACCCUAACUCUUUAUUUGUAAUUCACUUUAGCUUUGGAAUUUAUUUUUUUAAAAAAUUAUCUCAAGAAUAUUUCAUACUAAUUAUUUGGAUUGGGCUGUGGAUGGAGGUUUAGUGAAAGCUUGAAAGGGCUGAAAGUAGGGAGAGAGGGGGUGAUGGUUUCGCACCUUCAGUUUGCUAAUGAUACUAUCUUCUUUUUAGAGGACCGUGAGCCUUCUUUUUUGAAAAUUUUGGGUCUUCUCCAUAUUUUUGAGAAUUUUUUUGGGCUUAAGAUUAAUAUGGGGAAGAGUGGUUUUGAGGCGAUUACUAUACCCGUUGAGUGCGUUAGGGAGUUGUCUUCAAAGGUGGGGUGGAGUACGGUGCAUUGGAUUGGCUGUUGUUUUAUUUUGGGGUUCCUUUUGAGGGUAAUCCUAGAUCUAUUGGUGUUUGAGAUCUGGUCGUGCAGAGGGUGUCUAAGUAUUUAGAUGUCUUUUUUCUCUCGGAGGUAGAACAACUCUCAUUUAGGCUUGUCUUUCUAUUAUCCCGUUGUAUUUUUAUUUUUAUUUUUAUAUAUUUUAAAGAUAUUUGUGGAGGUUGCUAACAAGAUUGAGAAAAAUAAUGAGAGAUUUCUUUUGGUCAGGGGUUAGGGGCUUUAGGGAUCAUUUGAUGAGGUGGAAAGUGGUGUUUAGUUCUAAAAAAAUGUCUCUUUUGGCUAAGUGGCUUUGGUGGUUCCUGCUAGAGGAUUCUUCCCCGUGGCAUAGAGUUGUUAAAAGUAAGCAUGGACUAGACAAGAAUGGUGGGAUACUAAUUUGGGAUCUAGAUGUUCUUUGGAAAGCCCUGCCUCUCAUAUUUAUUCCCUCUUUAUUCCCCAUACUAAAUUCUUGUUUUGAUAGGGGUUGUAAUAUCUGUUUUUUGGAAGGAUCUUUGGUUGGGAAAUGUUGUUAUGUCCACUUCUUUUCCUCAUCUCUUAUGUUUGAGCUUAGGGUAGGAUGGUUCCAUUUCUUUCCUUUUUUUUGUUGUUGAUCCAACUGGUCUUUUAGUUUUAUGAGAUUUUCAUUUUCGGAGGUUUUUGAAUGAUAGGGGAUGGACGAGUUUUCUUCUUUUUUAGUCUUGUUGAAUAACUGUGAGGUCUCUUUGGAAGCGGAUAGCAGUGGUCUUUGGAAGUGGGGUAUAUUCUUGCAAAUCUUAUUAUGAAUUUUUGACUAGUUCUGAUUUUUCCUUUUCUCUCUACAAAUAUAUUUGGAAGGCCAAAGUCACCCUUAAAAUCAAGGCUUUUCUCUGGUUGGUUGCACUUAAUAGAAUCAACACCAAUAACUUGUUGCAGAUCAAGAGACCUUUGAAGGCUCUGUCUCCAGAUGCUUGUGUGCUUUCUUUUAACUGUUAGGAAUCUGCAUUGCAACUUUUUUUAUGUGAUGCAGUUGUGCUUGGAAGGUAUGGAAUUAAUUAUUUGGUUUUUUUCAGAGAAAGUUGGGUAUGUCUAGAGACAGUGGAGGAUUUUUUGUCAGUGUAUUUUGUUGUUUUUGGCAGGAAAAAGGCAAGGGCAUUGCUCUGGAAAUGUGCUUUCUUUGCAAUAUUUUGGGUUCUAUGGAUGGAACACAAUGUGUUUUUUUCAAGGAAGAAGUUGCUGUAUUUGCUGGUUUGGAAGAGGAUUCAUUAUAUGGCUUUUCUUUGGUGUGUAGGUCAUGGGAAUUUUAAGGGGGCAGGAUGUUCACUUCCUUGAUUGGUAUCUUCAGAAGCCCAAUACAAACCAUGCAUAAAGAAUUAGAAGUUCUGGAAUCUCCCUCGUGAAGCUCUCAAUAUAUGCCCGAGUGCUUAAUUGCUUGAUCCUAUUCAAGUGGUCGCAACCACGGAGUCACUCUCAACUAUAAAUUCCUCAAGUAUAAUAGCUUGGUCAUCAUGCAUAUCUUUCAUUAAGCGGUCCUAUGAAACCCCAAGGCUUUACCUAUUUUACCAUCUGGUAAAUGGUAAGUUUGUAAAUGCAUCAAAUCUUUUAAGAAUUGUGCAAUUGUCAAUUGAGCUGAAAUGCUUUUUUCUUUUUGCUAAUAAAAAAAAGUAUGUUAGAUAUGGAAAAAAGAAGGUACAACAUGCACUUGUACAGGGACAAGGAGUCCACAAAAGGGGAAAAAAAAAAGAAGUUCACAACAUAAAACUAGACAAAA